GAGUCACAGGCACCUGCAGGUGCCAAGGUGCUCCUGGGCCCUGUAGAUCCAGAGGGUAGAACGCAGCCCCUGAUCUCAUGGAUGCGGGGGUGGGGGACAGGAUAAACCACUAAAUGUACCUAAGACACGUGCACAGGUUCAGCAGCCAAGGGACAAAGCAGCUAGGUGGCGGGUGGUGAGCCAGGGCAGCCUCAGCUCCAGGGGCCCCUCCAGGGCCUCAGGUGAGGGAGGAGCCGGCUCUGGGAGCUCAGAGGCCUGGGCAGCCGUGAGACGCCCCCUCCAGGGGCUGGGCCACAUCACCUAGGCUCUCUCACUGCCUGAACCCACAGUCCUGGGUACAGAAUCCUGGGCCAUCACGGAACCUUCCUCGAGUGAGUUUUUCUGCCAAGACCAGAAAGCUCAUGACACCCAUGUGAUGGAAGCAAGAACCUGAAUGGCAGCCAUAGUCUUCAUCCUCUGAGGCUCAGUCCCCCUGGGCUGCCAAGUUUAGACUGCGACAGCGUGCAUUGGUACCCGUCCUCCAGUGCAGGCGCUGUUAACAUUGUCCACUGUUCCUUUAACCAGAAGGCUUAGGACCAGCACAGUCAUGGAAGCCAGCGUUUAUCAAGCACUUACUACAUGCCUGGCACUGUUCUGAGUGGUGUGCAUAGAUGAAUGCAGGUCACCCUCACCAUCCUGUGCGGGGGCGACUGUGAUGCUUCUCAUUUCACAGAGGGGGUAACAGAGACACAGAGAAGGGGAGCCAUUUUCAGAAGUCACACAGAGCUCAACCAGAUCUGCCCCACUACAAGAUGACAAAGUUCCUACUGGAUUCUUCCUGCACCUAGUUGCUAUAUCUGUAAUGCAAAGCUAAAUGACUUGGUCACAGUCACCUCAGCUCAGGGGCAGCAGACAUAGGACAGAAGUCCAGGCUCUGUUUCUUCCUCCAACACCCAACGACCCACCCUCAAAUCACUUCUCUGAGCAUCUCACACAUAGUAGAACCUGGCGACGCCUCUGAUGUUUUCAGAGGCAUUUUCAUUUGACCCCAUCUCCCUGGAGACACCGGGCAGAAAUAGACACACAUGGCUGCCACGCCAGCCUUGCUCUCCCCACAGCUGGGCAAGGAGGCCUCUGCUGGCUAGGUGAAGGCCCCGAGGCGACUGCAACCAGCAGGAAAC
This 1160-nucleotide long non-coding RNA is filed under the name Marmota monax (woodchuck). The record is from RNAcentral. Lineage: Eukaryota; Metazoa; Chordata; Mammalia; Rodentia; Sciuridae.